This 406-nucleotide ribosomal RNA is filed under the name uncultured bacterium. RNAcentral's name for it is "partial 16S ribosomal RNA". It matches the Rfam family "Bacterial small subunit ribosomal RNA", at positions 29 to 526 of the family's 1533-position model. The record is from RNAcentral.
AUUGAACGCUGGCGGCAGGCCUAACACAUGCAAGUCGAGCGAGCGGCGGACGGGUGAGUAAUGUAUGGGGAUCUGCCCGAUAGAGGGGGAUAACUACUGGAAACGGUGGCUACUACCGCAUACUAUCGGCUGAACCCAUAUGGGAUUAACUAGUAGGUGGGGUAAAGGCUAACCUAGGCGACGAUCGCUAGCUGGUCUGAGAGGAUGAUGGGCCACACUGGAAGUGAGACACGGCCCAGACUCCUACGGGAGGCAGCAGUGGGUAAUAUGGCACAAUGGGCGCAAGCCUGAUGCAGCCAUGCCGGGUGGAGGAAGAAGGCCUUAGGGUGGUAAAGUACUUUCAGCGGGGAGGCGUUACCCGCAGAAGAAGCACCGGCUAACUACGUGCCAGCAGCCGCGGUAAUAC